Molecule: long non-coding RNA, 475 nt
Organism: Grammomys surdaster
Lineage: Eukaryota; Metazoa; Chordata; Mammalia; Rodentia; Muridae
Exons: 2
Source: RefSeq, a predicted model, not a curated record
AUUACACCACGUGCCUGCUGCAUCUUAUUGACGUUUCCAAUAAGAGCGUCGGGCAAGGCCUUCAUGAGAGAUUCCAGCAGAAGGCAUUGUUGUCCUAGGAGGUGACAGCUCCGUUUUUAGACUAUAGAGUAAAAGUGGCUAUGCCGGGAGGCUGACUGGAGGACCUCACUUUGUAUGGCGUUUGCCUAAGCUCUUCUCUUUAUUAUCUUCAGAAUGAAAAGAUGGUGAGCAGAAAGGUCAGUAUGGCUAGCAACUGCUGACGGGAUGAAUAGUGUGAUUUGGUCAAAGCUGUCAACCUUUAUAACAUCUUCCGUUCACUGCUUAAGAUUUGGGGAGGGAAUUGAUCUGUUCAAUCUUUUGUAUACCAAUUAAAAUGCACCUUUAUGGGGGUCUUUGAUCCAUUUUUUUCUAAUAUGUUUCUAAUAUAUCCCCUAAAUAGCCUGUAUUAUCAAAUUAAAUGUCUCCAUUAUGAUGA